Molecule: ribosomal RNA, 478 nt
Filed under: uncultured bacterium
Lineage: Bacteria
Description: partial 16S rRNA
Source: RNAcentral
GCACGAACUUAGCCCGUGCUUCCUCCAGGGAUCGGUCAACCUUGCGGCUUCGUCCCCCUCGACAGUGCUUUACAACCCGAAGGCCUUCAUCGCACACGCGGCGUCGCUUGGUCAAGCUUGCGCUCAUUGCCAAAGAUCCUCGACUGCAGCCACCCGUAGGUGUCUGGCCAGUGUCUCAGUGCCAGUGGCGCGGGUCGUGCUCUCACACCCGCUAGACAUCUUCGCCUUGGUAGGCCGUUACCCCACCAACUAGCUAAUAUCACAUGAGCCCCUCCCGAGGCGAAAUUCAUUUCCUGGCCAAGAGAUGCCCCUCAACCAGAUCGCCGCGUAUUACCCACUCGUUAGAAUGGCUAUCCACGUCCCCAGGGUAGGUUACCCAUGCCUUACUGCCCCUUUCGCCACUUCCCCCAGCCCGGUAUUGCUACAAGGCUGGGAUUCGUUCGACUUGCAUGCCUAAUCCACGCCGCCAACGUUCGUU